AUGCUCUCAAUGGCCACGCUACUGCUUGGAAUGCUCUUCACACCAAGAGAAACCAGAGCCCAGUCAGUGACCCAGCCUGACAAUCACAUCUCUGUUUCUGAUGGAGCCCCUCUGGAGCUGAGGUGCAACUAUUCAUCUUCUGGUGUACCGUAUAUCUUCUGGUAUGUCCAAUAUCCCAACAAGGGCCUCCAGCUUCUCCUCAAGUACUUUACAGGAGAUACCCUGGUCAAAGGUAUCAAAGAUUUUGAAGCUGAAUUUAAAAAGAGUGAAACCUCCUUCCACCUGAAAAAACACUCAGCCCACUGGAGCGACACAGCUGAGUACUUCUGUGCACAGGAAAGAGAUAGCAACUAUCAGUUGAUCUGGGGCUCUGGGACCAAGCUAAUUAUAAAGCCAGUUAUCCAAGACCCUGACCCUGCUGUGUACCAGCUUCAAAGCCCUAAAUCCAGCAACAUGUCCGUCUGCCUGUUCACUGACUUUAAUUCUCAAGCAAAUGUGUCACAAGCCGCAGGGUCCAGUGUGUUCAGGUCGGGCCAAACUGUGCUGGACAUGAGGACCAUGGAUUCCAAAAGCAACGGAGCCCUGGCCUGGAGUGACAAUGUGGAUUUUGCAUGUAAUAACAUCUUCGAGGAGACCGACGUCUCCUUCAACUCAGGACUACCCUGUGAUGCCAAGUUGGUAGAGAAAAGCUUUGAAACAGAUAUGAACCUAAACUUUCAAAACUUGAAAGUGGUUGGGCUCCGCAUCCUUCUCCUGAAGGUGGCUGGAUUUAACCUGCUCAUGACGCUGCGGCUAUGGUCCAGCUGA
Molecule: non-coding RNA, 807 nt
Organism: Orycteropus afer afer
Lineage: Eukaryota; Metazoa; Chordata; Mammalia; Tubulidentata; Orycteropodidae
Source: the annotation of a RefSeq genome assembly